UACGUAGGGAGCAAGCGUUGUCCGGAAUCAUUGGGCGUAAAGAGCGUGUAGGCGGCCAGACAGGUCCGUUGUGAAAACUGGAGGCUCAACCUCCAGACGUCGAUGGAAACCGUCUGGCUAGAGUCCGGAAGAGGAGAGUGGAAUUCCUGGUGUAGCGGUGAAAUGCGCAGAUAUCAGGAAGAACACCCGUGGCGAAAGCGGCUCUCUGGGACGGUACUGACGCUGAGACGCGAAAGCGUGAGGAGCGAACAGG
Molecule: ribosomal RNA, 253 nt
Filed under: uncultured bacterium
Lineage: Bacteria
Description: partial 16S ribosomal RNA
Rfam family: Bacterial small subunit ribosomal RNA
Source: RNAcentral